Bufo bufo (common toad) is the source of this 958-nucleotide long non-coding RNA. RefSeq lists it as uncharacterized. The record is from RefSeq and is a predicted model, not a curated record. The transcript is spliced from 3 exons. Lineage: Eukaryota; Metazoa; Chordata; Amphibia; Anura; Bufonidae.
UCUUUAAGGGAAAACAUCACACCAGGAGGAGAAGACCAUUGAGAAUGCAUCAUAUCACCGAAAAAGGCAAUAUUUACUACAAAUGUAUGGUAAAACACCGGCUCCCAGCAGUCUUAAAUCCUCCAGGAUGAACAGUGCUAGAGGUCCCACCAAGACAGAGGAACGCUGCUUACCUGUCAUUCACUGCCUCUGAACAUGUUCUUCCCAUGCUGCACUCAGGGAACUCACAGUUGUCAUAGAUUUCUCCAAUGUCCAGCGAUGAUGAGGGUUUAAUUUCAUUCCAGGGUAAGAGUCAGAACAGUCUUUUGUGAGUCAGCUUCCAUUACCUUUUCAUAAUUGCAGUAAUGGGGCAGUGUUAUGUCAUUUAUUUUUAUUAAAGAGGUUUCAAGUUCUGGAUACUGAUGGCCUAGCCUCAGGAUACUGCCAAUAUCAUAUUGUGGGGUCCAAUUCUCAGCACUCCAACUGAUCAGCUGGUUGAAGGGGCCACACCUCUUCAUUGUUUGCCUUGGUCUACUUGCAAUCCAUCUCCAGGGUGGAACAGCUUGGUCUCCUGCUUUAGAAACCUGCACCAUUACUAGGUAGGUGUGCAGGUAGACAGUUCCGGUGCAUCUGACACACAAGGGCUGUGGUCCCUUCAAUCAGCUGAUCAGUGGAGAUGCCAAGAGUCGGACACCCCUCCACCACAAACUGAUGUUGAUUGCCUAUCCCAAGGAAAAGUGAUAAAAAUUACAAAAAAUAAAAAUGUAGGAGGAGAUUUAUCAAAACUGGUGUAAAGGAAAACUGGUGUAGUUGCCCAUAGCAACCAAUGAGAUUCCACCUUUCAUUUUUCACGGGUCCAUUGGAAAAUGAAAGGUGAAAUCUGAUUGGUUGCUACGGGCACCUAAGCCAGUUUUCCUUUACACCAAUAUGAUAAAUCUCCCCCAUAGUUACUAUAUUAGUACAAGACAAUUAAUGUGUG